GUGGGGAAUCUUCCGCAAUGGACGAAAGUCUGACGGAGCAACGCCGCGUGAGUGAAGAAGGUUUUCGGAUCGUAAAGCUCUUUCGUUAGGGACGAACGUGCUCUUUGUGAAUAAUGAGGAGUAAUGACGGUACCUAAAUAAGAAGCCACGGCUAACUACGUGCCAGCAGCCGCGGUAAUACGUAGGUGGCAAGCGUUGUCCGGAAUUAUUGGGCGUAAAGCGCGCGCAGGCGGGAUAUCAAGGCUGUCUUAAAAGUGCGAGGCUCAACCUCGUGAGGGGACGGAAACUGGUAUUCUUGAGUGUCGGAGAGGAAAGUGGAAUUCCAAGUGUAGCGGUGAAAUGCGUAGAGAUUUGGAAGAACACCAGUGGCGAAGGCGACUUUCUGGACGAUGUCUGACGCUGAGGCGCGAAAGCUAGGGGAGCGAACGGGAUUAGAUACCCCAGUAGUCC
RNAcentral lists this ribosomal RNA (450 nucleotides) under uncultured bacterium. Its description in RNAcentral is "partial 16S ribosomal RNA". It matches the Rfam family "Bacterial small subunit ribosomal RNA", at positions 354 to 796 of the family's 1533-position model. The record is from RNAcentral.